This is a long non-coding RNA of Mizuhopecten yessoensis (Yesso scallop), 1333 nucleotides long. RefSeq lists it as uncharacterized. The transcript has 3 exons. NCBI's taxonomy places the organism in Eukaryota, Metazoa, Mollusca, Bivalvia, Pectinida, Pectinidae. The record is from RefSeq and is a predicted model, not a curated record.
UCACUACCUACCGGUAUGAUAUAAACUGGUGCAGGCCCUAGCUGAAAUCACUUCCAUGGUUUUCACCAGUGUGGAUUUCACUUUUUAUACCAGAAUACGCAAAGCUACAGAACAGAAAUGGAGUCUCCAGCUGCCAGAAGAUUACAAAGGGUAGAGCCAAGGAUGGGGUUUGAAAUCAAGGCCAUGGUUUUGACUUCGAUAUGUUUCUUCUAUGCCAUAGUCAUAUUCCUCACAGCGGCGAUUAUCAGCACGGCAUCAACAUCGGCAAUGACAACAGUUUCCGCGAUAUUAAAGCGUUACCAAUUCUGGAACAUUGAGCACCAGACCAAACUGGACGUGAAGCGAACAAGAUCACGCUCGACGAAACAUAUUAACCAGGGCUGAUAAACCUCUGAACAAUCAACACGGGAAUCUCAAAAACACUUACAUCUUCAAUCACAGGACCAAAUGUUCUGAUGAUUUGUACGAUGAUAAUGUAUUUUUAACUAAAAAACGAGGUGCAUAAUCAAUCGAUCAAUUUUUCUACUGCAAUCCGCACCAGAUUGAUAGCGCUGCCUCAACCGCUUGUAAGCGGCUCCAAUACUGUAGGAUUGUACGUGGACUUUGAUACAAAUGGAAACAGGAUAUGAUACUGUGAACCGGACGAUACAAAGGUUUUUAAUUUUUUGUUUUCCAUCUAGUGCAGACCUUUUGAGAUAAUUUGGACACCGAUGUCCAUGCACUAACGGAAAAGACUAUAAUGGAACUUCGAUGGUCACUGAACUGAACUGCAAUAAGAGGGGGGAAUGUUGAUGACAAUAGAAUGUGCGGAAUUCUGCUUAAACUGUCAAAUGAGUUAUGAGAGUGAAUUGUGAUUAUUAGACGUGUCAGAUUAAUUUCAUUUCUUACAAGUGAUUAUGUGCGAAAUUUGGGAAACAUGUUUUGAUACAAGAUCUUUAACUAGAAAACUAUCUUGAGGGACUUCAUAUGUUUUGAUCUCUCUUUGAUAAACUGGUUAAAUUACCGAUUUUUAAAAUUGUAUGCAUGAAAAUAUUGAUUUGUAUAUGCACAUUUGAGAGGAUGAGUGAUCAAUUAUAAUGAAGACAAGUGACACAGUCGUUUGAAAUAUACAUUGUAUGACGACGAGAGUGAGAGAGAGACAGAGAGAGAGAGAGAGAGAGAGAGAGAGAGAGAGUUAUUAUUUGUGUAAAAUGAAGGAAAUCGUGAGCAUAUUGACGAGUAAUUACUGUUGAUUCGUGUUCAGGUGUUGAGUGAGCGAGACGGGUGCUUAAUUUUGUAUUGUUAUAUUCUGUUGCUUUUCACAGAGAAAUUGUUAAUAAAUUACAUAAUAUAA